Molecule: long non-coding RNA, 992 nt
Organism: Hevea brasiliensis (rubber tree)
Lineage: Eukaryota; Viridiplantae; Streptophyta; Magnoliopsida; Malpighiales; Euphorbiaceae
Exons: 2
Source: RefSeq, a predicted model, not a curated record
CUCCAUCGUUUUCUUAUCUUCCUCUCUCUAUUCUCCACUUCAAGAACUUCAUUUUUUUUUCUUCAUCACAAACACAAGCUCAUUUUCACUAUCUUGAAGGGGAGCUUAUAAGUUUAGAUAGAGGAAGAAGAACUCAAGAUGAGAGGAAGAGGAAAUCUUAUAGGGUUUUGGCUAGUAUGGGCUUGCUCUUCAUUUGCCUUUUCAUCCCCUCUUUUCCUCCAAAUUAAUUACUCAUACUAGCAAAUCUAUGGUUUUAGAUUAAAGAUUUGGUUUAAAGGAUCAAGUGGGAAGAGAAGUUCAAGGUAUUGGUCAAGGGUAGCAAGUGUUCAACUGUGGCUUCUGAAUCUGUAUUUAGCACUGGAGGGAGGACUUUGGAUCAAUUAGGAGUUUUUUACUUCCAACUACUACAGAGGUCUUAAUUUGCUGCCAAGAUUGGUUGAGAAAUUAAAGCAAAUCUAUCCAACUUGAAUAAUCCAUUGAAGAGCUUGAAAGUUGGGAGUUGGGUAUAACUACUGCAACAAAUACAUUGUAUGAUCUUAAUUAUUCAAUGUUUGCAAUUUUUCUUUUGGCUUAUUUUCUUUUUCAUAUAAUGAAUUUCAAAGAUUACUCAAGAUCUUAAAGUUAUGGAGAUGAUCAUUCCAAGAACUAGAGUGGAUUGCUAGACAUUGUGAGUUGUGAAUUAACUUUAGUUUUUUUUUUUACCUUUAAUUAAUUGAAAGUAUUUAUCUAUUAAUAUAUUUAUUGUGUAAAAAUGAAGGUGCCAUCAUAUUGGAGGAAGGCUUGAAUCUUGGAAGUUGAUUGGAAUUUUUUUCUUUUUAUGAAAAAUAUGGCAAUGAAGCAUUUAAAAGCUAAUUGUUGUUGUUGUUGAUAUGUUUUUUUUUUCUUUUUUUUUUCUCUUUCCAAAAUGUGAGAGUAAAGCUUUACUUUAUAUUAUUCUUGUUGAUUUGGUGUUAUUUUAUAAAUUGGAUAGAAAUAUUAUGACUUAUUAUGGA